GUCAAAAGGUGUUUCACAUUUAACUCCUCCAGCUUCUCUGAACCUGCGAUGCGCAUGUUGAACAUGCACAGUGUGAGUGUGGUCUUCCUCCCUCUUAGCCUGGUCCUUCUACUGUUUGGAGGAAUAUGUGGCUUGAUCAGUUCCCUGCCCUGGGGCCCCGCCCUCCUCACUAGCACCGUCUCCUAUCUCUUCUUCUGCAGUGUCCUGACCCUCUCCGGUGUCAGCCUGUACAUCAGCAACUCCGAGCAGGCACUGGCAGAGACCGAGAGUCUGGUGGGGGCUGAGCGUCUGGCCCAGGUGGUCAGCACCUCAUUCGAGCUGGUCCCUGGGCCUGGCUGUCCUUCUGCCUGGAGGUCCUCACUGGCCUGCUGCUGGCUGCCCACCCCGCCCUCCAGAGCGGCUCACCGGGCCACGGCAUACCCUCUGUCCUAACCCAAGAGCCAGGCCCUACAGAAGUGUCACAAGGACUGUACCUUCAAUUUUCAAAUUAUUUUUAUGUGCUCGUCUCUGGCACCACAAAUGAAUUUCCCUCUGGAGAAAUAAA
RNAcentral lists this long non-coding RNA (544 nucleotides) under Oncorhynchus kisutch (coho salmon). RNAcentral describes it as "lncRNA (ENSOKIG00005003849.1)". Lineage: Eukaryota; Metazoa; Chordata; Actinopteri; Salmoniformes; Salmonidae. The record is from RNAcentral.